UGCAACAACUUGGGCAACAACAAGGUUGGGAGAUCCCAGCACAGCUGCUUGCACCACCACCACCACCAUAUCGUCGAGAGUCUACUCCGAUGAGUAUUACAUGCAUCGGGGGCGGCGUCCAACCAUGUCGGAGGGUCGCCAGGAUCGCACGGCGUGCUAUGCACACCUAGACCGUCGCUGGGAUCGCAAGCUGGGGCGUCCCAACCCUCGCCGGCAUCGCACACUGGACAGUCGCCGUGAGCUGCCUUGGGAGUUGUUUUUAUGUAUUAAACUUGUGAACUUAGAAUAAUAUGUACUCUUGAACGUGUGGUUUGUAAUAUAUUCUGAAUUUCGUAUAAAUUUGGUCAUUUGUGAUAUAUAUAAA
Long non-coding RNA from Sorghum bicolor (sorghum), 364 nucleotides. RefSeq lists it as uncharacterized. The record is from RefSeq and is a predicted model, not a curated record. The transcript has 2 exons. NCBI's taxonomy places the organism in Eukaryota, Viridiplantae, Streptophyta, Magnoliopsida, Poales, Poaceae.